RNAcentral lists this ribosomal RNA (492 nucleotides) under uncultured bacterium. RNAcentral describes it as "partial 16S ribosomal RNA". It matches the Rfam family "Bacterial small subunit ribosomal RNA", at positions 29 to 507 of the family's 1533-position model. The record is from RNAcentral.
AGUGAACGCUGGCGGUAGGCCUAACACAUGCAAGUCGAACGGCAGCACAGUAAGAGCUUGCUCUUACGGGUGGCGAGUGGCGGACGGGUGAGGAAUACAUCGGAAUCUACUUUUUCGUGGGGGAUAACGUAGGGAAACUUACGCUAAUACCGCAUACGACCUACGGGUGAAAGCAGGGGAUCUUCGGACCUUGCGCGAUUGAAUGAGCCGAUGUCGGAUUAGCUAGUUGGCGGGGUAAAGGCCCACCAAGGCGACGAUCCGUAGCUGGUCUGAGAGGAUGAUCAGCCACACUGGAACUGAGACACGGUCCAGACUCCUACGGGAGGCAGCAGUGGGGAAUAUUGGACAAUGGGCGCAAGCCUGAUCCAGCCAUACCGCGUGGGUGAAGAAGGCCUUCGGGUUGUAAAGCCCUUUUAUUGGGAAGGAAAAGCAGCAGGUUAAUACCCCGCUGUUCUGACGGUACCCAAAGAAUAAGCACCGGCUAACUUCGUG